UAGGUUUGGAAUUAAAAUCAAGUUGUGGGUUAGUUUUGGCAAAAACCCCUAAUCAAAACACAAGUACACAAAAUUCAUUAUAUACGGAGACAUACGUAUAUAGUAUUUAUUAAGUUUAAGAUGCGUGAUUUGCCUUACGGACUCACGUGCGUCCUUUUGUUUCCCCAUCAUCGAGAUAUCGUUUUUGCGGUCCGUCUAAAGUCGUAUUUGACUUCAACUAUCAAUCAACCCAAUUAUUUAUAGAGUACUUGCACCCAGAAAUUAAAUCAGAUUAAUAAUCAUCAUAAUUAAUGCGUUUUCUAUAUUGUUUUCAUAUGCGUAGAUAUUAAUUUCAGGACUAAUUGGUUUAUAAGACAGGACAGCUACGCAAUGAUUUACAUUUACUAAAUGAGAUACUAGUAAACUUGAGUAAUGAUUUACAUUUACUAAAUGAGAUACUAAAUACAGUUAAAAGCAUAACAUAUCAAUGUGAUAUGAUUCAUUUUUUUUGUGUACGCUUGUUGUAGUAAUAUAUGUUUCAUAUGUACAUGAAAAAAAUUACACAAAUGUUACUAUCCACAUGUAGAAUGAUAUAAGUGUACACCACUCAACUUGGGCAAUGUACACAGUGAAAUAAAUAAAUUUUCACUGAAACUAUUUCUUUUAUUUUUGGCCACAAAACAUGAUAAAUUCAAAACUGCAACUUUAAAAGCAAUUUGUUGUGUACAUUAUACCAUGUACACAAAUACUUUAUUAUCCACAUGUACAAUAACUCACAUGUACACUAAUUAACUUGUACAAUAAUAUACGGAUAUCAUAUAACUUAAACUAUUUUUAAGUACAUAAAUUUAAACAUGUAAACCUUUCAACCUAGAGCAGUCAGAGCCGGCCUUGGAGGUAAGCGGGAGAAGCGGCUGCUUCCAGCCGUCAUUAAAUUAUCAAGUUUAGCGGCCACAUUUUUACAAUAUUUAUCCAGUAGCUCUAGUGGUAAUGGUGAAAUUUGAGCUAUGUGAAGGUGAGGGUUCGAGACUCUACGCAGUGACAUUUUUUAAAGUAGUUUUUUUUACAAAUAAUUAAACAUAAAUAGGCCACUUUUUCUUAGUUCUGCUUCCAGCCCGGUAAAUACACGGACCGGCUCUGAGAGCAGUACCAAUUUACAAAAAUAUGUACACAAAUCCAUUAACUUAAUACACGGAUAUCAGAUAAUUUUACAUAAUGUUUCAAGUGUACAUUUAUCGUUGAGUACACGUGUACAACUCUUAGAAAUGGUUUUUAAUGUUUCAAGUGUACACAUAUUUUUAUACAUACAUGUGAUAGCCUGUCCAAAAGCAUUGUCUAGGACUGUGAAUUGGCCUAAAUAAAGACCCCAUAGCUUUACAUAAGUGCAUGAAUAUCUUGUUUUAGUUAAUUUAAGUCAUUUUAGAUUCUAUUUUGUAAUAUACAUUGCGAUUAUGUGUUCAUAUGUAUAUACCAAGGGAAAAAGUGCAUAUUUGUAAGUUUAAGGUCAAUUAAAGAGGACAAAUUUGCAUAUUCAAGAAUUUGGGGUCAAAUGACAAUAAAGCUAAUUAUGAAGGGCUUAAAAUGAAAAUAAAAGAAGUUGUUUGGGUAACGCUCGCUCGAUCCGGAUCUCAGGCUCGAGUUUCAGUUUGCCAUGGGAGGAGCUCAAUCAAAGCAAAGGAUCGUGGGAGAAGGUCUUGGUGGUGAUAAGGUUGCGGCGGCGACCUGAAAUCAUUGAGAAGAUUUGAAAUCGUUGAGAACAAAAAGGACUGCGGUGGAAUGGAGCUUGUCGGCGGAGCUUGGAUGGAGCCAUGGAUCUCUGUCUUAUUUUUUAUCAAGGAUCUCUGUCUCUCUAAGCUUGUAAUCAUGGAUCUCUGUUUUUUCAAGCUUAGAAUUCACAAAUAGAGAUGAGUUCACCGUCGUCAUCUGUCGGAGUAAACCCGUAGUCAUCUAAGGUCAUGAGCUCUGCCACGCCGAUGCUUCUUAGCUCGGCCACAAGAAUGGCAACUGGAGAUUGGAGCUUGUCGUCUCUCUCAUUUGCCUCCCUACCUUUCUCUCAAUGUUAGUUAGGUCAUUGGAGAUUUACCAGUGGAAAAAAAGAAUUUUUGUUAUUUGAUUUAGUGAAAAUUAAAGAACGUCGUGGAUGAAUUGAAAAAAUGUAUAAUUUUAAAACUUAAAAGAAAAUGUCUUGAACAUUUUAAAAUUAAAAAGAAAAAUAUGUAAACGACAAAUCUUCUGAACAAAAAAAGAAGAGAAUUAGAUCUGAGAAAGAAGAAUUUGGUAAGAAAGAGAAGAAGUUGAUAAGAAAGAGAAAAUGAGAUCCAUUAGUUAGCUUGUUUAGUUAGCUUAUAAGCAGAAAGUAAAUUUGGUUAAAAAAAACUACCUUUAGUAGAAAGAAGUGUCUUAUAGUGUAAUAUUAAACUAGAAAAGUGUCUUAGACCAGCAUUAUCGGUGGUUCUUAGAUGGACUCUUAAGCCCAAAAGUAAUUUAAAAAAUUAAAAAAAAAAAAUUUAUCUUAAGAGGCUGGUUCCUGGAAACCCUACGGAAGAACCACCUCUUGCUCACACUCUUUGUCUCUCUCUCUCCUUUCCCGCAGAGAAUCUCUCCUUCUCAGACCAAAUUCAGCCAAAAUCAGCGUUGACAGAGAAGAUCUCUUCUUCUUCUUCACCUGUGUGACCGUGUUCGCUGUCACGUAUUGUGGAGCGAUGGCGAUUAACGGCGAAGAUCACAUCUCCGGCGAACGCCCGAUCAUCAUGGUCACCAACGACGACGGAAUAGACGCGCCUGGUCUCCGUUCUCUCGUUCGCGUCCUCGUCUCCACCAACCUCUACGAAGUCCGCGUUUGUACUCCCGAUUCUUUGUGUCAGAUGCCGAGUUCUUGAGAAUGGCUAUGUACCUUCUCUACGAGUUUUCUUCUGGCUAUGGCCUCUUCGAGGCGCAUGGUCUUGAUGAGAUUGGACAAAACACUGAGGCCGUCCGAAGCUCAGUCUCCGACCUCAGUCGCUUUGGCCGUGUUGUCCAGCUCACAGCAUUUCACCCCUUUGAGUCUGCUCUCGAUGCCCUAAACCAAGUUAACGCCGUCUCUGAAGGUAUACAUAUUAAAUUUACAGUGGUGUUUCUGUGAACUCGAACCAUCACUCUGCCUUUUUUCGUAUAUAUUAGGAUACUCUCCUCCCUAUUUAUGUUGUUUAACAAUUUUACAUAGAAAAAGCUUCAGUUUUUUAAUGGUU
Molecule: long non-coding RNA, 3206 nt
Organism: Brassica rapa (field mustard)
Lineage: Eukaryota; Viridiplantae; Streptophyta; Magnoliopsida; Brassicales; Brassicaceae
Source: RefSeq, a predicted model, not a curated record